CGACGUGGGUAACCUGCCUCGUACAGGGGGAUAACAGUUAGAAAUGACUGCUAAUACCGCAUGAGCGCACAGUGCUGCAUGGCACAGUGUGAAAAACUCCGGUGGUAUGAGAUGGACCCGCGUCUGAUUAGCUAGUUGGUGGGGUAACGGCCUACCAAGGCGACGAUCAGUAGCCGGCCUGAGAGGGUGAACGGCCACAUUGGGACUGAGACACGGCCCAG
Molecule: ribosomal RNA, 221 nt
Filed under: uncultured bacterium
Lineage: Bacteria
Description: partial 16S ribosomal RNA
Rfam family: Bacterial small subunit ribosomal RNA
Source: RNAcentral